Molecule: non-coding RNA, 107 nt
Organism: Capsicum annuum
Lineage: Eukaryota; Viridiplantae; Streptophyta; Magnoliopsida; Solanales; Solanaceae
Source: Rfam
UGGUGAUGAUCUGGACAGUCCCAAAGAAGAGCUUUGAAGCUCUCCCAUCCAUAGUAUAAGUUCUCAUCUAGCUUUUGUUUAAAGUGUAUAAUCUCAUUGCUCAGUAU